CGGCGCCGGCGGCUUCUCCAGCCUCGGGGAGGGGAGGCGGCGCGCACCGGCCAUUUUCAGCUUGGGUGGAGCUAAGUUUGGAAUCUGUAACCUGGAGGAG
Equus caballus (horse) is the source of this 100-nucleotide non-coding RNA. NCBI's taxonomy places the organism in Eukaryota, Metazoa, Chordata, Mammalia, Perissodactyla, Equidae. The record is from Rfam.